ACUCCUACGGGAGGCAGCAGUGGGAAUAUUGGACAAUGGGGGAAACCCUGAUCCAGCCAUGCCGCGUGUGUGAAGAAGGCCUUCGGGUUGUAAAAGCACUUUCAGUGGGGAGGAAAGGUUGUUGGGUUAAUACCUAACAGCUGUGACGUUUACCCACAGAAGAAGCACCGGCUAAACUCCGUGCCAGCAGCCGCCGGUAAUACGGAGGGUGCAAGCGUUAAUCGGAAUUACUGGGCGUAAAGCGUGCGCAGGCGGUCUGUUAAGCGAGAUGUGAAAGCCCCGGGCUCAACCUGGGAACU
Molecule: ribosomal RNA, 299 nt
Filed under: uncultured bacterium
Lineage: Bacteria
Description: partial 16S ribosomal RNA
Rfam family: Bacterial small subunit ribosomal RNA
Source: RNAcentral